This 2262-nucleotide long non-coding RNA is filed under the name Homo sapiens (human). Its description in RNAcentral is "HSALNT0158069". The record is from RNAcentral. Lineage: Eukaryota; Metazoa; Chordata; Mammalia; Primates; Hominidae.
ACGGAGUUUCACUCUUGUUGCCCAGGCUGGAGUACAAUGGUGCAAUCUCAGCUCACUGCAACCUCUGCCACCUGGGUUCAAGUGAUUCUCCUGCCUCAGCCUCCGGAGUAGCUGGGAUUACAGGCACAAAUUUGGGGACGGUCGGUCCAAGACCCAGCCUGUGGCACCACUGGACACAGAAGUCUUCCUCAGCUGCUCUGCAUUGAACGAUCACUGUGGGAUAAUGUCAUCAAAAUAGACAAAGGAUGGUCUGGAGAAUCUCACUUCCUACUUCUCAGGAAGCUAAAUGGGAAUUCCAGCAUUCUGAGGUGAGGGUUUCCUCAACUAGCCCACCAUGGAGAAGGUGAUACAGGACUGAGUGGAAGAAAGGCCACUGACUCGGAAUACUGGGAGACUUGUCAAGUCAUCUAGCACGUCUGACUGUCAAUCCAUACAUAAAACAGAGAAAUACACACCAACGUGAGACAAAAAGAACUGGAGUCUGGUGAGAUAGAGAAGAACUAGAGAGUACACACAGAACAUAAAUAGGACAUGUGUGGUACAAGAAGAGGAGAAGUCAAGAUUCAGCUGGACAGAGGCUCCCUGAGUCAGCAUUUCCAAUGGUUUGUUUCAUGUUUAUCCAGUCUCUAUGGUGUUUUAUACAGGUUUUGUUGAAAAGAGCCAUGUGGGCAAGUUAAGUUGAAAAAUUUGGAUUAAGCAAAUGUGAUCAGGUUCCUUUAUUCUUCUUAGUGCUCUGUGCUAAUACAUAUGGAACCCAAUGGGAGGGGAAGACAGAGGUGGGAGGAUGUCCCAACUUAUUUCAACACAAACCCCAUUUUUUAUAGAGCAGCCAGUGAGAUUAGUACUUCAUAAAACACACUUGAGAACAUCUUAUCAAGAAAAACUAAAAGUUUAUAUGAAUUCUUACAGAGGUGGAAUUGAAUGUUAUCACUAGAAUUUUGCGAUUUUUAAUUUGUUAUAUGGUUCAGUAAACAAAAAAAUGAUAAUAAAAUUUCAGAGUAUCUAUUUGAACAAGGUUGUCCCUACUGAAACACUCCAGUCAAUGCCCCCACUGGCAGAAUAGGCAAAGCAGUAAAUCUGCAGCACACAUUUUGUUACUGAAACACCAGGGUUCAGUCGAGGUCCUGCUGCUGGCGACACAGAAAGCCAAUCACUGAGACAACAUGUACUCCAGGGAAGAAGGCUUUAAUCAGUCUCUCCAGCCAAGGAGAUGGGAGCUCAGUCUCAAAUCCAUCUCCCUGACUGACUAAAAUUAGGGGGUUAUAUGGCAGGGAAGAAAUGUAACCAUGUGUGGGAAAACAGUAACUAAGGAGGGGUAAGGAAGCAGUCCUAAUGAAUGAGGAGCCUAGUGUCUCAUUGUCUGGAUGCCGUGAUCUUGUGAGUUUCAGUUCUUUGAUACUUUUUGAGAGGCCUGGGGGUCCUCUUCUGAGGAAAGAACUCAGAUAAAACAAAUGUAAGUUUUAAGCUUUAAGGCCAGAAGGGGCAAUUCCUAUCUUUAUCCAAAAAAGCUAUCUAUGGGACUAUUGGGUCAGUUUCAAUUUGAGAACAGCACCUCAAGAAAGGGCCACAUCUUACACUGUGUUCACUUGUGCACAGUCUCAUUGAGAGUUGUAGUUUUGCAUAUAGGACAUUUCAAUAAAAUGGAAACACACAAUUAUGGGUACCCUACACGUGGAGCAUGAGGUCACAGCCCAGCAACUCCAUCUGGGGCCAUUUCACCCAAGCUGCAAAUAUAGUGUCUAGAAAAGCUAUUAGUGUCGAGAAUGUUGACCUUACAAACCAGUUAUUUAAAGUGAUCAUAGUUUGCAGAAAAGAUUACCUUCUGAAAGAGGUAAGAGACCCCAAUCAAUAUAAUCUGAGUAUCUUAAGUAAAAUUAGGAAAAUAUCUCAGAAAUUAUUGUUGGGAAACUUGAUGUGGUUGUUAUGCAAGCAAUCCAGGAAAAAAACAACCAAACACACACAGACUAACAAAUAAACCCUCCCUAUUCAUUGUCAGGCCCAGUGUAAGCCAUCAGCUAGGAUAUGUUGUUUUGCUGAUGGUGAGGUCACAGGGCAAAAAGAACAUGAGAUCAUUCAGUAAACAAGACCAACUGGAAAACUAGUUUUGCAUCCCCAUGCCCAACCACCCAUCAGUCACAUGCUUACAUUUAGGUAUGUUAGCUAACUACAUCUCUCUACAAAAACCAUGCAUAUUUCACAAUCCCCAAAUGGGUCACAAAGUCAUUCAUGGGUCUUAUUUUUAUCCAGUCUCCCAGGAGCAAA